This is a long non-coding RNA of Hemicordylus capensis (graceful crag lizard), 416 nucleotides long. RefSeq lists it as uncharacterized. The transcript has 5 exons. The record is from RefSeq and is a predicted model, not a curated record. NCBI's taxonomy places the organism in Eukaryota, Metazoa, Chordata, Lepidosauria, Squamata, Cordylidae.
GUAGGCCUCCCUGAAGCCUGAACUUGGCAGGCCCCAAGCAAGCCAGGAAGGAAGCAGGAAGAGUCUCUGCAGCAGACUCUCUGCCCAGACCAUCCAGCCCAGCUUUUGCAAGCAGUGGAACUGAAAAAUUUGCUAGGAAGACAUUCAAAUCAGCAAAAGAAAAUCCUCUGGGACAACCCUGACCAGAAGCCAGGAAGAAUGCCAGGAUCGCUCCACAGGACAUGGGAAAAGGAUGCCCCUUACUCUGCAGCGUGGUCAGCCUUGAUGAGGAAACUCCUGUGGCUCCUGUCAGAAGUCAUUCACGGACAGAUCCAGGAUUCAGAGUGUCAACAGUGGGAACGAGAACCUGGAUGAAGAAGGUGCCACCAGUUCCCCGAGGAGUGUCUUUGCAGCUGAAGAUGAUGGGUGGUUUCUGG